RNAcentral lists this ribosomal RNA (445 nucleotides) under uncultured bacterium. RNAcentral describes it as "partial 16S ribosomal RNA". It matches the Rfam family "Bacterial small subunit ribosomal RNA", at positions 354 to 796 of the family's 1533-position model. The record is from RNAcentral.
GUGAGGAAUAUUGCGCAAUGGAGGCAACUCUGACGCAGCCAUGCCGCGUGCAGGAAGAAGGCGCUACGCGUUGUAAACUGCUUUUAACCGGGAAGAAACCCCAGGACGUGUCCUGGGUUGACGGUACCGGAGGAAUAAGCACCGGCUAACAUCGUGCCAGCAGCCGCGGUAAUACGAAGGGUGCAAGCGUUAUCCGGAUUCAUUGGGUUUAAAGGGUGCGUAGGCGGGGCGUUAAGUCAGUGGUGAAAUCCUGCAGCUUAACUGUAGACUUGCCAUUGAUACUGGCGCUCUUGAGUGCGCUUGAAGUGGGCGGAAUGUGCCGUGUAGCGGUGAAAUGCUUAGAUAUGGCACAGAACACCAAUUGCGAAGGCAGCUCACUAAGGCGAUACUGACGCUGAGGCACGAAAGCGUGGGGAUCGAACAGGAUUAGAUACCCCAGUAGUCC